Molecule: microRNA precursor, 98 nt
Filed under: Chlorocebus sabaeus (green monkey)
Lineage: Eukaryota; Metazoa; Chordata; Mammalia; Primates; Cercopithecidae
Description: miRNA (ENSCSAG00000023794.1)
Source: RNAcentral
AGGUGGAAGGAUUGCUUGAGUCUGGGAGGUGGAGGUUGCAGUGAGCUGAGAUCAUGCCACUGCACUCCAGCCUGGGUAACAGAGUGAGAUCUUGUCUC